AUUUAGGUAGUUUAGUAUAAAAUGGUGCUUUGUGGUGGCAUGGAUGCUUGUGUUUGCCCUGAAUA
RNAcentral lists this transfer RNA (65 nucleotides) under Cryptocellus narino. RNAcentral describes it as "tRNA-His". Lineage: Eukaryota; Metazoa; Arthropoda; Arachnida; Ricinulei; Ricinoididae. The record is from RNAcentral.